Molecule: unclassified non-coding RNA, 812 nt
Filed under: Hevea brasiliensis (rubber tree)
Lineage: Eukaryota; Viridiplantae; Streptophyta; Magnoliopsida; Malpighiales; Euphorbiaceae
Source: RNAcentral
GUUGGGCUCCCACUCGGCAGCUACGUGCAGCGGACUGAAGCCCUGAGACAACCCUAAACCCUAAUUAUCUCCGUCUCGAACUUCCCCUCCGUGACAACCAUCACCAUGGCUGAACUCAAGCUCUCUGAAAGCCGAGACCUGACCCGAAUUGAGCGCAUAGGCGCCCACUCCCACAUCCGUGGACUUGGUCUUGACUCCGCCCUUGAACCCCGCGCUGUCUCCGAGGGCAUGGUUGGCCAGACUGCAGCCAGAAAGGCCGCCGGCGUCAUCCUACAGAUGAUAAAGGAUGGGAAAAUAGCCGGUCGAGCCGUUCUUCUGGCGGGCCAGCCGGGUACCGGAAAAACAGCAAUUGCAAUGGGCAUGGCGAAAUCGCUUGGCCUCGAAACCCCAUUCGCUAUGAUCUCUGGCAGCGAAAUCUUCUCGUUGGAGAUGUCUAAAACCGAAGCACUAAUGCAAGCCUUUCGAAAAGCAAUUGGCGUGAGAAUUAAAGAAGAAACCGAGAUAAUCGAAGGCGAAGUCGUUGAAGUGCAAAUCGAUAGGCCGGCGGUAGCUGGUGCAGCGUCGAAGACAGGUAAAUUGACACUAAAAACGACCGAAAUGGAGACGGUUUAUGAUUUGGGGGCGAAGAUGAUAGAAGCAUUGGGGAAGGAAAAAGUUCAAAGUGGGGAUGUAAUUGCAAUCGAUAAGGCGUCUGGAAAAAUUACAAAGCUUGGGAGGUCAUUUUCACGGUCGAGGGACUACGAUGCCAUGGGUCCGCAGGUGAAGUUUGUUCAGUGCCCCGAUGGUGAGCUGCAGAAGAGGAAAGAGGUGGU